AAGACCUUGCACUUUUGGAGCGGCCGAUGUCUGAUUAGCUAGUUGGUGGGGUAAUGGCCUACCAAAGCUUCGAUCAGUAGCUGGUCUGAGAGGACGGCUAGCCACACUGGGACUGAGACACGGCCCAGACUCCUACGGGAGGCAGCAGUGGGGAAUUUUGGACAAUGGGCGCAAGCCUGAUCCAGCCAUGCCGCGUGAGUGAAGAAGGCCUUCGGGUUGUAAAGCUCUUUCAGUCGGGAAGAAAAGGUUGCGACUAAUAAUUGCAAUUCAUGACGGUACCGGAAGAAGAAGCACCGGCUAACUACGUGCCAGCAGCCGCGGUAAUACGUAGGGUGCGAGCGUUAAUCGGAAUUACUGGGCGUAAAGGGUGCGCAGGCGGUUUUGUAAGUCAGAUGUGAAAUCCCCGGGCUUAACCUGGGAACU
RNAcentral lists this ribosomal RNA (423 nucleotides) under uncultured bacterium. RNAcentral's name for it is "bacterial SSU rRNA". It matches the Rfam family "Bacterial small subunit ribosomal RNA", at positions 207 to 622 of the family's 1533-position model. The record is from RNAcentral.